This 531-nucleotide unclassified non-coding RNA is filed under the name Hevea brasiliensis (rubber tree). Lineage: Eukaryota; Viridiplantae; Streptophyta; Magnoliopsida; Malpighiales; Euphorbiaceae. The record is from RNAcentral.
CACGAACUGGGUAUCUUUAUCUCUCUUGUGCGAAAUCAUGAGAGAAUCAGGAACAUUGAUGGGGUUUUUUCCGAUCAAUAUGAGCCGAGAGAUUCCAGGAGAGGAGAGGAGAAGCUGGAGAUGACCGGACUCGGUGGAGAAAAUCCAGUCUGAUUCGCGGUUUUCAGGGACAAAAAGAGCGGCGACAAAGAGCGAGUCGCUGGGUUGGAUGGGUGAAUCUAGAACGGCCACACGAAGAAGGUGGGUGUGGAGAGUAGGGUGAGGGAUAGUGAAAGAGAGGAAGCGAGAGGGGAUUAUGGUUUCAAAGAUCGUAACGUCAAGAGCCAUGGAGUUUGUUUGUUUGAUUUGUUCUUGUUGCAGAACGAAGAGGGAAAAUGAUAGAAAAUUUGAAAUUGAUGGGAGCCCCUGUGCUAAUGCGCUCUUAAGAUAUUUAUGGGGUACGCAAAAACUAGUCAACUGAACCUCACAUAAGCUUCAAUUCAACUGAUUAAUGAUCAGCACCAAUAUGAUUUCAAAAUUCAGAGAUUCAGA